RNAcentral lists this ribosomal RNA (959 nucleotides) under Vibrio sp. BL75. RNAcentral describes it as "bacterial SSU rRNA". It matches the Rfam family "Bacterial small subunit ribosomal RNA", at positions 62 to 1001 of the family's 1533-position model. The record is from RNAcentral. Lineage: Bacteria; Pseudomonadati; Pseudomonadota; Gammaproteobacteria; Vibrionales; Vibrionaceae.
UCGAGCGGAACGACUUAACUGAACCUUCGGGGAACGUUAAGGGCGUCGAGCGGCGGACGGGUGAGUAAUGCCUAGGAAAUUGCCCUGAUGUGGGGGAUAACCAUUGGAAACGAUGGCUAAUACCGCAUGAUGCCUACGGGCCAAAGAGGGGGACCUUCGGGCCUCUCGCGUCAGGAUAUGCCUAGGUGGGAUUAGCUAGUUGGUGAGGUAAUGGCUCACCAAGGCGACGAUCCCUAGCUGGUCUGAGAGGAUGAUCAGCCACACUGGAACUGAGACACGGUCCAGACUCCUACGGGAGGCAGCAGUGGGGAAUAUUGCACAAUGGGCGCAAGCCUGAUGCAGCCAUGCCGCGUGUGUGAAGAAGGCCUUCGGGUUGUAAAGCACUUUCAGUCGUGAGGAAGGUGGUAGUGUUAAUAGCACUAUCAUUUGACGUUAGCGACAGAAGAAGCACCGGCUAACUCCGUGCCAGCAGCCGCGGUAAUACGGAGGGUGCGAGCGUUAAUCGGAAUUACUGGGCGUAAAGCGCAUGCAGGUGGUUUGUUAAGUCAGAUGUGAAAGCCCGGGGCUCAACCUCGGAAUAGCAUUUGAAACUGGCAGACUAGAGUACUGUAGAGGGGGGUAGAAUUUCAGGUGUAGCGGUGAAAUGCGUAGAGAUCUGAAGGAAUACCGGUGGCGAAGGCGGCCCCCUGGACAGAUACUGACACUCAGAUGCGAAAGCGUGGGGAGCAAACAGGAUUAGAUACCCUGGUAGUCCACGCCGUAAACGAUGUCUACUUGGAGGUUGUGGCCUUGAGCCGUGGCUUUCGGAGCUAACGCGUUAAGUAGACCGCCUGGGGAGUACGGUCGCAAGAUUAAAACUCAAAUGAAUUGACGGGGGCCCGCACAAGCGGUGGAGCAUGUGGUUUAAUUCGAUGCAACGCGAAGAACCUUACCUACUCUUGACAUCCAGAGAACUUUUC